This 301-nucleotide ribosomal RNA is filed under the name uncultured bacterium. Its description in RNAcentral is "partial 16S ribosomal RNA". It matches the Rfam family "Bacterial small subunit ribosomal RNA", at positions 509 to 807 of the family's 1533-position model. The record is from RNAcentral.
CAGCCGCCGCGGGAAUACGUAGGGUGCAAGCGUUAAUCGGAAUUACUGGGCGUAAAGCGUGCGCAGGCGGUUUUGUAAGACAGAGGUGAAAUCCCCGGGCUCAACCUGGGAACUGCCUUUGUGACUGCAAGGCUAGAGUACGGCAGAGGGGGAUGGAAUUCCGCGUGUAGCAGUGAAAUGCGUAGAUAUGCGGAGGAACACCGAUGGCGAAGGCAAUCCCCUGGGCCUGUACUGACGCUCAUGCACGAAAGCGUGGGGAGCAAACAGGAUUAGAGACCCGUGUAGUCCCUGUCUCUUAUAC